AUGAGUUUCCCAAGAUGUCCCAGUUGGUUCUUCACCUUUUGCCCACGGAGAACCAGAGAAUCUUGUGUCUUCUUCAGGGAAUGCCCUCAUCCUUCCACAGUCAGGUCCCAUCUUAUUCAGAAUACCUAUUUCUCCCAUCCAGCUGAAGUCAUUGUUCUCUGCCUUGGCUCCACUUUGGAAACACCUGAGAAUCUUUAAAAACUAUUCAUUAGGGGCACCUGGGUGGCUCAGUCGGUUAAGCCUCUGCCUUCAGCUCAGGUCAUGAUCCCAGGGUCCUGGGAUCGAGCCCCAUAUCGGGCUCUCUGCUCAGCAGGGAGCCUGCUUCCCCCCCACUUCUGUCUGCCUGCCUCUCUGCCUACUUGUGAUCUCUCUCUGUCAAAUAAAUAAAUAAAAUCUAAAAAACAACAACAAAAAAAAACUAUUCAUUAACUGGGUCUUAGCCCUGCAGUUUCAGAUUUAAUUGGUCUGAGGCCUGGUAUCAGGAUUAGAAAAAAAAAAAACAACUCCCCAAAAUAUUCUAAUAUGCAGCUAAUGUUGGGAACCACUGAACUCAAGACAGUUUGUUCUGCCAAAUAUUUUUAAAUUUUUCAUCAUGUUCCUCACAUUAACCUGGAAAGAAUGGUAACAAUUAAAGAAUGGCAACCACCACAGGAAGUAGCUAAAAUUCAGCCUUCCAGGUUAGAGGAGGAAAAGAAGAACAACCAAAAACAAACAAACAAACAAACAAAAACAACCAACCCUAUAUUAUCAUAUCCUUGAGGAAUAAUAGGAUUCUUUAUUAUAGGGUAAUCUCAUGCUUUCCAUAACUUAGAAGCAAUUGCUUCCAAACAAGUGCCUCACUGAAUGGAGGCAUCUGAGGUUUUAGAACUGAUGAAAUCAUACAUCAGAGCAGGCAUAUGUUAACCCCAAACUGUGACUAGAAAGUUGGAUGGCAUAUUUGGGGUAUCACUGCUUUGGCAAAGACAAAUGAGGGGAGGCGGUGUACGUGAUGGUAGGAGGUGAAGAUCCUUGGGUAGGAGGAUCUGUAACAAGCUAUGGUUCCCCUGAAAGGCCAGAGGAGAAAUGAGGAUGUGUUGCAAGUGGCCGAAGGGGGAUCGAUAGUGGGAAUAAUUAACAUGUUUUCCAAAAUGGGCUGGUCUCCCUGUUGGAGAAGAUAUUGAAAUAACUUACUGUACUUCUGCUUUCAAGUUUUCUGAGAGCAUGAAGGACCCCUAUACAGAGUAGAAUAUGACAUCCAGGUAGGCAGCCCAAAAAAGAACGGAAGAAUCAAGGCAGGUGGUGGAGGCCUAACAAAAUCCAAGCGAAGUGGUCAGGCUGCGGCUCUGUCGGUGGUGAAAUAAGCAUGCGUAAGACAUGUGAUCAUUUCUCCGAUGAAGCCUGGCUUGGUUUAGGCUCUCUGUUAUGUUGGUUGCCCUCCCAAAGCCACAGCGAUGAAAGUAGCAAAAAUCUGUAUUCCGAGGAGGAUAUGAAAGAUGGUAAGUGCAAUGAAAGGAAGGCCUACCACAGCAGAAACUGAAUCAGGGUUUGUUUUUUGUUGUUGUUUUGUUUUGUUUUGUUUAAUUUAUUUAUUUGUUAGAGAGCAAGCGAGCACAGGCAGACAGAGUGGUAGGCAGAGGCAGAGGGAGAAGCUGGC
Molecule: long non-coding RNA, 1633 nt
Organism: Mustela putorius furo (domestic ferret)
Lineage: Eukaryota; Metazoa; Chordata; Mammalia; Carnivora; Mustelidae
Source: Ensembl